Acomys russatus (golden spiny mouse) is the source of this 109-nucleotide small nuclear RNA. NCBI's taxonomy places the organism in Eukaryota, Metazoa, Chordata, Mammalia, Rodentia, Muridae. The record is from RefSeq and is a predicted model, not a curated record.
GUGCUCGUUUUGGCAGCACAUAUAUUAAAAUUGGAAUACACAGAUUAGCAUGGCCCCUGCCAUGCUAAUUUGGGAUGACACCCAAAUUCAUGAAGCAUUCUAUAUUUUU